Molecule: long non-coding RNA, 1866 nt
Filed under: Monodelphis domestica (gray short-tailed opossum)
Lineage: Eukaryota; Metazoa; Chordata; Mammalia; Didelphimorphia; Didelphidae
Description: lncRNA (ENSMODG00000047691.1)
Source: RNAcentral
CGCUAUAGGCGGAAGCGGCUGGCCUCAGGAUCGCGAUGAUUGGCUGAUGGAGGGGGUGGGACCCUUGGGUUCAUUCAUCUGAGCCGCACGUGUCAUUUAAAGCCGCAACCAUAACAGGGCCCGGCGGGGCGGGGCGAGACGAGGGGCAAGCCCCUAGGAGACCAGCAGGCGCGAAGGGAAGGGCCGAAAGGAGGAGCGAGGGCGGAAUCUGGGAGACUAAAUGUCAUAGCGGGGGACAGGAACGAUCUCUCGCGUUACAGGUGGAGAAACUGAGGCACUGAACGGCAAAGACUCAGAUCUCUAAGCCGCCUGAGUGCAACUGUUAACUCUUCUCUCUCCUGCUGAGGAUAAUUACCGAGCUAGGAGAUUUGGGUUGAAAUCCUCCCCCCAAAGGAAGAUCGUGUCCGAUGCACCAGUUGCUUCCGGGCAGGACCAGAGAUGCUGGAUCCUUUGUCUCGGAGCUACAAAGAGGAAAAGAACCUCUAAGGGCAAUUUUGCAAAUCCAACUUCACGCCUGGAAGUCUUGCGUCCCCUUCCCCUCUUGGCAUGCUUUCCCCUCGGGGCUCAAGUCUAAAGUCCGCUCCUUACGGAAGGCUUUCCUGGACUCUGCCCCCAGUCUUCCCCCCGGUUCGGUUCGGUUUGGUUUUUAAUUUUGUUAUCUGCUUAUAAGUGACCGGAGUUGUGGUUAGAAAUCCUUCCGGAGGGAGGGAUCUUGGUGGUGCUGCCUCCUUUUAUAUUGGCUGGGUAAGCCCGGUAAGCUCCCAGCCAGUGCCCCAGACCACCCUUGUCUCCAGUCUGCAGAGAAGGUCCGUCGGUCCCAAGCCCAGCGCCAUGCCUAGCUGGUCCGCAGCCCUUCACAAACGUUUCUAGGGCCGACGAGGACCGGACUCAGUCUUGGGGGCUUCUCAAAUCCUGUCAUCCACAAUGGGGCGCAGCUAAGCUUCGGAAUCUUGCAUCCUUGCAAAGAAGAGCCUGUCUCGAACCCGGGAAGCUCUCCACGACAGUGGGCCUUCCUUUCUCUGGACUAAGCAUUGAGGCAGAUGGGGGGGGGGGGCAGCCCACGUUGGCAGGACAAGGGGACAAGGACUUUGGCAUGGAGGAAAAUGUAAAAUUGCAUCGAUUGCCUAACGCCUCAAAUCUCCAAGGGGGUGAAGGGAAGCCAGAACACAGGAGCCGGCCUGGAAAGCAGAGAGGUGGAGGGAUGGGAGAGUUGGGUGAGGACCAAGAAUGGCCUUUGGACUGGAGAGAUGGAAGGGCAGGAAGGCAGAUGAGGGCUUAGAUUCCUUUCCUAAUUGUUCUUCAACCCAGCUCAAAGACUGCCUCCUCUCAAGGCCUUCCCUCUCCCCACAAAAUGACCUUCUAUUUAUUUGGGGUCCACUUUGGAUUGACUUCUCCACGGACGCGUGCUCGCUGCCUCCCCCACCCCAGUAGAGGUCAAGAUGGGUUUCAUUUCCUUCAGAUACUCUAGAAUUUUGCCAGGUAUCAGUCAGUCAGGCUUAAGAGUUUGCCACCUUCGCUUCCUCCCCUUUUUGAUAACUAUCUGCGCAGAUAUUCUCCGCCCAACCUUGGGGAGGCCACACGGAGAUGGGAUCAUCCAGAGCUUCCAGCUCCAUCCUUGAGUGGCGUCCUCAUCACUGAUCAGAGACUCCGAAAAGCUGCCCAGGAGAGGCCCAUUCCAGCUGGCAAAUGGUCUCUUGGAGGCAGCGGCGAUCCAAUGAGGGGAAAGAAGGAAGGAUCCUUCAUGGCAAGUCCCUCCAGGCUCUGGAGUAGAGAAAUGGACUUGCCAUGAUUCAAAUUCUCUGGAACUGCAUCCUAGUUUAAAGGUAUUUAUUAAAUAAUAAAAGUGGGCCAGAAAAAGAAAAGGCA